RNAcentral lists this ribosomal RNA (493 nucleotides) under uncultured bacterium. RNAcentral's name for it is "bacterial SSU rRNA". It matches the Rfam family "Bacterial small subunit ribosomal RNA", at positions 28 to 526 of the family's 1533-position model. The record is from RNAcentral.
GACGAACGCUGGCGGCGUGCUUAACACAUGCAAGUCGAGCGAGGCCCGUCUGGUGGCAACACCGGGCGGUUCCUAGCGGCGAACGGGUGAGUAACACGUGGGUAACCUGCCCCUGACUUUGGGAUAACUCCGGGAAACCGGGGCUAAUACCGAAUAUGAGACGCUCUCGCAUGGGAGCGCCUGGAAAGGGUUCACCGGUCAGGGAUGGGCCCGCGGCCUAUCAGCUUGUUGGUGGGGUAACAGCCCACCAAGGCGACGACGGGUAGCCGGCCUGAGAGGGUGUUCGGCCACACUGGGACUGAGACACGGCCCAGACUCCUACGGGAGGCAGCAGUGGGGAAUCUUGCGCAAUGGGCGAAAGCCUGACGCAGCGACGCCGCGUGAGGGAUGAAGGCUUUCGAGUUGUAAACCUCUUUCAGCAGGGACGAAGCGAAAGUGACGGUACCUGCAGAAGAAGCCCCGGCCAACUACGUGCCAGCAGCCGCAGUAAGAC